Molecule: ribosomal RNA, 1372 nt
Filed under: uncultured bacterium
Lineage: Bacteria
Description: bacterial SSU rRNA
Rfam family: Bacterial small subunit ribosomal RNA
Source: RNAcentral
GAUGAACGCUGGCGGCGUGCCUAAUACAUGCAAGUCGAGCGAACGGACGAGAAGCUUGCUUCUCUGAUGUUAGCGGCGGACGGGUGAGUAACACGUGGAUAACCUACCUAUAAGACUGGGAUAACUUCGGGAAACCGGAGCUAAUACCGGAUAAUAUUUUGAACCGCAUGGUUCAAAAGUGAAAGACGGUCUUGCUGUCACUUAUAGAUGGAUCCGCGCUGCAUUAGCGAGUUGGUAAGGUAACGGCUUACCAAGGCAACGAUGCAUAGCCGACCUGAGAGGGUGAUCGGCCACACUGGAACUGGGACACGGUCCAGACUCCUACGGGAGGCAGCAGUAGGGAAUCUUCCGCAAUGGGCGAAAGCCUGACGGAGCAACGCCGCGUGAGUGAUGAAGGUCUUCGGAUCGUAAAACUCUGUUAUUAGGGAAGAACAUAUGUGUAAGUAACUGUGCACAUCUUGACGGUACCUAAUCAGAAAGCCACGGCUAACUACGUGCCAGCAGCCGCGGUAAUACGUAGGUGGCAAGCGUUAUCCGGAAUUAUUGGGCGUAAAGCGCGCGUAGGCGGUUUUUUAAGUCUGAUGUGAAAGCCCACGGCUCAACCGUGGAGGGUCAUUGGAAACUGGAAAACUUGAGUGCAGAAGAGGAAAGUGGAAUUCCAUGUGUAGCGGUGAAAUGCGCAGAGAUAUGGAGGAACACCAGUGGCGAAGGCGACUUUCUGGUCUGUAACUGACGCUGAUGUGCGAAAGCGUGGGGAUCAAACAGGAUUAGAUACCCUGGUAGUCCACGCCGUAAACGAUGAGUGCUAAGUGUUAGGGGGUUUCCGCCCCUUAGUGCUGCAGCUAACGCAUUAAGCACUCCGCCUGGGGAGUACGACCGCAAGGUUGAAACUCAAAGGAAUUGACGGGGACCCGCACAAGCGGUGGAGCAUGUGGUUUAAUUCGAAGCAACGCGAAGAACCUUACCAAAUCUUGACAUCCUUUGACAACUCUAGAGAUAGAGCCUUCCCCUUCGGGGGGCAAAGUGACAGGUGGUGCAUGGUUGUCGUCAGCUCGUGUCGUGAGAUGUUGGGUUAAGUCCCGCAACGAGCGCAACCCUUAAGCUUAGUUGCCAUCAUUAAGUUGGGCACUCUAAGUUGACUGCCGGUGACAAACCGGAGGAAGGUGGGGAUGACGUCAAAUCAUCAUGCCCCUUAUGAUUUGGGCUACACACGUGCUACAAUGGACAAUACAAAGGGCAGCGAAACCGCGAGGUCAAGCAAAUCCCAUAAAGUUGUUCUCAGUUCGGAUUGUAGUCUGCAACUCGACUACAUGAAGCUGGAAUCGCUAGUAAUCGUAGAUCAGCAUGCUACGGUGAAUACGUUCCCGGGUCU